Molecule: non-coding RNA, 76 nt
Filed under: Candidatus Kaiseribacteriota
Lineage: Bacteria
Source: RNAcentral
AAAUAGAAACGGCGAAUAGGAAGCAGGGUGUAAUUCCCUCACUGUGCCGCAACGGUCAAAGUCCGAUUAUCGGUUA